CGGCAUUGUUCGUGAUCCGUCUCGUUGUGGUCGUUCUUUAGUCCGCCAGAAUAAUCUGUGUCGUCAGGCGUGAUUGCAAGUGAUUGUUUUGCGUGACUUUCUUCGUGCUAUGCAUUCGUGGCGUAGUAUCGUAUCGUCGGCUCGCUCUUGCCGUGUCUGGCUGAUCGUUUUGCGUGACUUUCCUUCCGUGCUAUGCAUUCGUGGUGUAGUAUCGUGUCGUCGGCUCACGCUUGCCGUGACUGGCUGAAGCAGUGUCACUCAGUGUUUGGGAAAAGCAGCCUCCGGACGGAGAAGUCCCUGCAGUAAGCUUCGUUUCGUCGUGAACUUGCCUGAGCAAGAUGGCAGCGCAUGACGGAUCCCAGUGGCACCGACAGACGAAGCCUGUGGACGACGCUCCUACUGUCGUUAUAGAUUUCAGGUUGCUUCAAGACUGCACAUUGAAGCUCUACAGCUCCAUUUGACCAGGAAGCCUCCUUGGAAACUUCGUGUCUCGAGGUAGUCAAGACGUGUCCAAGAAUUCGGAAUAGCCACGCUUAAGGUCUGGCCGUGAGUGGUCUCGAAUCAGUGCAACCUGCUGUCCUUUUCGCCAGAAUGCCACCUGACCCUGACAUGGUCUGGGAACACGACACUGCCAAGCUCAUGCACGCAAGCUGUGUCACCUAUAGGGGUCCUGUAUCUCAGAUGACUACAUGAGAAUCCUGUACUACAUGAGAACUACACAUGUUGCAUGUUUUGCGCUGUAUGCCACAUAAAAUAUGUAAUGGAUGUCGCAAAGAAGUGCUUGAUGGCUGCCCAUUGAUUCCUAUUCAUAAAAACUGACUGCUGGCUAUGCUAAUGUUUAUGCCAGGUCUAGUAUAUUGCCGCAUUUGACAGUAAUGAACGAUGUUAGCGAAACUAUUGCUUUUCAUAUCUCCUCAUUCUGACAGUAAUGUGUCUCGCUGUAUUUCUGGACGGUGUUUCUGUAUUUCAUUUCUGUACAGAACUCUCCAUACCACCGCUAAAUAUAUAUAUUUAUAUAUAUCAUACCUUAUAUAUAUAAGGUACUUGACACACGACGUACAUUUUAGCAUUAGCAUAGUGCUAAAACGUACGUCGUGUGUCAAAUGCCUUCCUACAGUAUCAGGACCUUCGUGAUCUUUCUGUAGCUCUUAUAUUUAAGGGUCAUUCCAUGCCAAGUGUCCCAGACGUGGCGCUCGCACAUCGCAGCUUUUGCCGAUAAAAUUUGUGCCUUUUUCCUGUGCCACAUGGAGUAUUGUGGCAAAACAUUCUUGCUCGAAAAAAUUUUGACGGUCCUGGCACCCCCUCGAAUUUCGCUUCUAUUUAUUAAACUGUACCUAAUAGAAAAAUGUGUAUAAAAUCUACUUUUGUGUGUUGAGCUUCUAAACUGCGCUUGCGCUAUCGCAGAGGUUCUGUUUAGUUGUCCCA
RNA transcript from Rhipicephalus sanguineus (brown dog tick), 1425 nucleotides. It is a transcript of the gene named high-affinity choline transporter 1, with no coding region annotated. The record is from RefSeq and is a predicted model, not a curated record. The transcript is spliced from 2 exons. Lineage: Eukaryota; Metazoa; Arthropoda; Arachnida; Ixodida; Ixodidae.